UGUUCAGAGACCAAUUGUGUUUCAUUGCCCUUAUUCCUGCAUGGUACAAUAAGCAUAAAAUUGAAUCUGAGCAUAAUACAGAGAUACUUGUACAAUAGGCAUGAUACAAAAGGUACCUAUACAAUACUCCAUUAGCUCUCAGCACACAGUUAGCACGUGGUUAUUGCAUUAAGAUACUGAUCGACUCUGACCAUUUCAGCUGCUCCUGAUUCACUAUUAGCUCAGCACACUGUGUACAAAGUGUUAAAGCAGCAUUAUACUGAUAGACCCUUUAUUACCUUUGCAGCUGGC
Pelobates cultripes (western spadefoot toad) is the source of this 291-nucleotide non-coding RNA. The record is from the annotation of a GenBank genome assembly. NCBI's taxonomy places the organism in Eukaryota, Metazoa, Chordata, Amphibia, Anura, Pelobatidae.